AUGGCGUCUUGUCCUCUUCCAAUCUUGGAGAGCGGCGACCCUCGUCUAGAACUGACGCUUCACAACAGCGUGAGAAACGUGUUUGUAACGCAGUCGGACGUGAGACAUGAACAGAAAGAAAAGGUCAAAUACAUCCCUGUCGUAAAAGAGUCUUCCAGCAGAGUUCUUGAGGCUGGAGUGAACACUCUGCAGAGAACCCUGCUUCUGAAGAAAAAGGCAGAAUUAGACCAAGUCGAUGAACAGCUCUCACGCAAGCGGGAUGAAUUCACGAGCCGUAUGGAGGAUUUAGCGAACAAAAGGUCUGAACUCAAGUUAAAACAACAACAGAAUAGAGAGACCGUGAUGAAGUUUGAGAAGUUUGUUGCGGACAAUGAAGCGAAAAGAAAUCGAGCUCUGAAGAAGUAUGAGGCUGCACAAGAGGAGAACAUUUCCAAACAGAGCGAGAUAGAAGAGCUGACAGAGGAGCUCAAACUUCUCAAAAUCAGGCAACAAGUUUUAAAGGAGAAAAUAGGAAAAUACAAAAUCUACGAAGACUACCUGCUGAAAACUCUCGAUUACUUCCCCAGCUCAUACCUUGAUCAUGGCUCUCAGCCCUCUGUGAUGUCCAUCAUUCGCCGCCACGAGGCCCUGUCGGUCACAAACCGGGAGCUACGCAAGCGUUUGGGACAUGCGGAGGAGGAGGUGCAACAAGGCAGCCAACAGCUGCAGAGCAUGAAAAGGGAACACAAUGUGAAAAAACUGAUGGGCAUUAAAGAACUGUCUGAGCUCCAGAGUGAGUUAGACUCCCUGAAAGAGGAGAACAAGCAGAUGGAGGAUAAAUUACUGAUGCAGCAUGGCCUGUCCAGGGACAAGGUGGAGGAGGUUGGCAGGUUGCUCAUGGGCAUCAAUAAUCUUGCAGAGCAGUGUUACCUCACCGCACAUGGACCUCUGCAAAAUAUGACCGUGCUCUCCAUGAUGGACAUGGUGAAGGAGUACGUGACAGACAAAUCAGAGACAGAGAAGAGAGCAAGGAGGCUGAUGGAGCUGGAGUCUGCGGAGACCAGCCGGACAGCUCCAACAGAGAAGAAGAGGGAGUCCAUAAAAAACAACAGUAACAAACAAAUCAGAAGCUAAGCUCGUCAAGAAUGAAGUCAUGAGCUAAUGUAGCUAUUUACUGUUAUUAACCUGGUGAUUCAGGCUUUGACCUGUGAAAAAUAGAAUUUUCUACAAAUAGGAAACCAGACUUUUUUCUUUCUUUGUCUUUCCAAGCUUUGGCACUUUUAUUUAUAAGUAACCAAACCUUGCAGUUGUCUGUGGUGUUGCUCAUGGUUACAGGUGAAUAAAUCAGUCUGUACAUGAAGAAUAUGACCACGACUUGAUGGUGUAAAUGUAGAUUCUUGGUUUCACAUGAUAGAAAUGAAAAAGUGUGGCAUGGACAAAGUAAAUUUUAGUUUAUAGAACACUAUUUUUUAAUAUUUAGCCGGUCAAAGGCUGCAUUUUUUUAUACUUUCACUAUUGUCAGAUGACAUAAAAUGAUGGGUGAUUAGUAAGUGUAUCCAGGAUUGAUUUAUUUAUCUUUACGUUUUGCCAUAGCAUAGCUCAAACAGUAUAAAGAAAACUAUGAAGUAAUUGAGAAUGUGACGAUAUAUUUUCAGUCCUCCUCUUCAUCCUCCUCUUUCACAUUAGGGUUGAGCUCCAACGUUAGACCGGUGAGUUUCUGUAGGGCCUUUAGGCUGACUGGGCUGAUGUAGCACUGCACUUCCUGUUAUGACACAUGUUUCCGCAGGACUUCCAGCUUCUGUGAGGCCAUUUUGAAAUGAACCUGCUGACAGUAGCGAUCCACCAGAAAGCCAUAUACAUCUGUAAUCCUCCACAUUUGGUUCCUCCAGCAGGGCUUCACACAUCCUGAUGGCCUCCCAGGAAUCUUCCUCAUAUAAACCCCGUGCCUUUAUGCACGUCUUGAUGAGCGCGAUCUUAUGCUGCAGGUCACAAAGUCUUGCUUUUUGUUUGCCUGCCGGCGAGUCCUUUGAUUUUGAGACACACUCAAAGGCCCCAGUUAAAGCAUGAAGCGCCUUCUCAUAGAAAAUCAUUGAUCUCCACCUGAGCACAGACUUCAAAGAAAUCAGCCAGCUGCUCUGACGCUCUGCCUUUCGUGUAAAAAGUAAUGAUUGUUUUAAAGAUCUCAGGAUUUUCCCUCCAGUCUCUGGACUGGAGGUAGUUGGCUGCCAUGAUAAAGAGUUCCCUCUGACAAGAGAAACUAGCAUAGUACUAUUUUCUCUGUAUCUCCAGACUUAAGGAGCACACUCAUGGCCUUGAGCUUGUUGCCCGCCUGUGUGUACCUCUUUGCUGCCGGACGAUAAUUGCCCUGACGCACGUAGCACUCGGCUAUGCGCUGCAGCAGCUCCUUCCGAGCCUCUAUCGAGUCAGUUGCAGUCAGCUUCUCUGCCAGUUCCUCUGUCACGGUCAAUUUCUGAGAAAUGCACGACUCCAAGGCUUGAUGAUACUUUUUGGCCGCUACCAGCAACUCGUCAUACUGGGAUUGUGUGAUGAAGAAGUCACAGUAGCGUUUGAGAAGGGCUGGGUCCUUCAGAUCCUCCACAAUCAGCUGAAUUGCAGGGAAUUGUUGUGUGGAACCUGCUAACUCUAAAGCCUUGGAGACGCAGCCAGCCUUGUGGUAGAGUGCAACAGUUCAGACACCUUUCUCCUUAUAGUAGUGCGCAGCCUCCAUCAUGUCCUUGGGGUUGCUGAGCAGAGCCAGGUUCAAUAGUUGCUCUGGUGUGAAGCUGCAGAUAUUGUAUUGUCGGGUAAACAAGGAUCUCUUUCAGCAGGUUUGCAGCUGAAAUAAUAGUAGGGCACAUCUAUAGGGACCAACGUCUUCAGGCCUGAAGGCUCCAGGAAGCGGUCCUGCAGGAGGAUCCCGUGCUCUUGAGCACAGAAGUGUCACUACUGAUACAUCUUUCAUAUCCAAAAGGCAUUUUGUUGAGGAUUCAAAGCAGAUUGGCACCGUUUCACAAACGAAAAGUCGAGGGUCUUUCUCAUCCCAAAAUUGCGAUAUUGGGCAGCGCCGACUAUAAUUCAUCUUCUCACAGUGCUGCUUUUUGCUUUCUUCUGAUUGCGACAUACCCUCAGACCGCAGAAGAAGACAAAAUGUGUCAAGGUGUCCAUCUCAACAUCAUAAAAGUAGACCUUAGAAUCAGGCCGUCCAUUAACUAGAGAGAUUAAGAUGCUGACUUGGCUGCCAUUGGAAUUACAUUUGACUGAACUUAAAGCUCCCAGUCUGGGAAUUAGUUGAGUCAGAUCCUUUGCACGGCAUUGAGCUCUGGCUUUCCUUCAGGAAAGGUCCAACAAACAGACGUGUGCGGUGUCUGUGCCUAUUGCAAGGUACAGGAUUACCUUCUGCUUUGGAAAAGGCCAGCAGCUGCUUCACUGUGCCCUGUUGUGUGCGUCUCUGGACCCUGUUAGCUUCCACCGUGUAGAGGUUCUCACCGUAUACACCUACAAUUUUAGAGUCACAAGGAAAGGACCCUUUAAUGUUAAAAGUGGUUCCUGACAACUCAUAUACAGCGACUUGCUUGCCACUCCAGACUGUCACAGAAUCCUUGCCGACACACACUCCCUCGAUGUGUAUGUCAGACAGCAGUGCCAGGUGUGCUCCUGUGGAGAACUGAGUGAUGCUGAGCUGGCUUGAGCUAAGCUGCACUGCUGCCAUCUGCUGACUGUAGCCAGCCGACAUGUGACGCUCUCUCGGGAUGAGUGUAGCAUUUGGAAAAAGCUGAUUUAGAAUCCUUCCAUUUACCUCACAGUCAUUUUGGGGGGGGAUGCUUGGUUUUUGUCUUUCCCUCUCCUGAUGCUCCACUGAUCGCGCUUACUUUGACAUGGCACCUACAAUGUGCAGUUUGGUAUGCUUCCAUGUCUUCGAUGAACUUUUAAAGUCUUUAAUAUGUUUUAGUAGAAAACACAACUGGAUGUAAUAAAUGUAACUAGAUAUCAAAGUCUUUGCUGGAGACUAUAGUGACGUCAGUGUGGCAGUGGUAUUCAAUAGACCGUAGAUGAAAGGCUAGCUUGUAUGAUAAAAGGCUUUCAUGUUUGAGGGUUAUCUUCAAUUCCUUUGGAUGUGUCCUUUGCUCUUAGCUUAGUUUCACCUUGAUGAUGCUAUUCAACAUAACAACAUAGGGACGAACAAAUGUGGAUUUAAACACGACUGUGUCAAACGUACCUUUCGACCCAUCUAGCCACUUGAGUACCAACAUAAAGCUAGCUAUCAACCGGUAUCGGAUUUUUUAAUAUGUUCAAACUGUAUGUUUAUGAAUAGAGAAAGUGUCUGCUGAAGAG
RNAcentral lists this long non-coding RNA (4311 nucleotides) under Takifugu rubripes (torafugu). Its description in RNAcentral is "lncRNA (ENSTRUG00000033314.1)". Lineage: Eukaryota; Metazoa; Chordata; Actinopteri; Tetraodontiformes; Tetraodontidae. The record is from RNAcentral.